CCGUGAGGGAAAGUUGAAAAGAACUUUGAAGAGAGAGUUCAAGAGUACGUGAAACCGUUUAGAGGUAAACGGAUGGGACCGUUAUGUUCCCUGGUGGGAUUCAACCUUUCGCUCGGUCGUCGGCGUCUUGUUCAGAUCUUCACGGACUGGCUGGGCGUCGAGCGGUCGUCGGGGGGCGCACUUUCCACAGGACUGUGGCCAGGACAGGCUCUCGGGCGGCCAGAAGCUCGCGUUGCAAGGUAGCUGUCCUCGGGCAGUGCUUAGGCGGCGCGAGUGGGCAGCGCUCGGGGGCCGAGGAACGGACCGCCGCUCCGGGAACGCGUUCGUCACGUGUCGAGUUAUACUGGUGUGGACUGUUCACAGUGCUCGCCGACCGCUCGGUGCGUUGUGCGGGCGUCCACUCCCGGAAGCCCAGGGUCUCUGGUCGUUUUCGUCGGCAUCCCAUCCGACCCGUCUUGAAACACGGACCAAGGAGUCUAACAUGUGUGCGAGUCACUGGGUGGCAAACCCACGGGCGUAAUGAAAGUGAAGGUCGGCUCUGUCGGCUCAGGUGAGACCCCGGCAACGGGCGCAUCACCGGCCCGUCUCGAUCCCAUUGUCGGAUGAGGCGGUGCAAGAGCAUACACGUUGGGACCCGAAA
RNAcentral lists this ribosomal RNA (640 nucleotides) under Ampharete octocirrata. RNAcentral's name for it is "eukaryotic LSU rRNA". It matches the Rfam family "Eukaryotic large subunit ribosomal RNA", at positions 351 to 821 of the family's 3401-position model. The record is from RNAcentral. Lineage: Eukaryota; Metazoa; Annelida; Polychaeta; Terebellida; Ampharetidae.